This 451-nucleotide ribosomal RNA is filed under the name Nereididae sp. B ZW-2021. RNAcentral describes it as "partial large subunit ribosomal RNA". It matches the Rfam family "Bacterial large subunit ribosomal RNA", at positions 1858 to 2609 of the family's 2925-position model. The record is from RNAcentral. Lineage: Eukaryota; Metazoa; Annelida; Polychaeta; Phyllodocida; Nereididae.
CCUGCCCAGUGAUUUUUCAACGGCCGCGGUAUCCUGACCGUGCAAAGGUAGCAUAAUCAUUUGCCUUUUAAUUGAAGGCUAGUAUGAAAGGACAAACAAGAAUAAAUCUGUCUCACUCGAACUUAAUAUAAACUGAUAAUAAGGUGCAGAAGCCUUAAUCGCAAUAAAAGACAAGAAGACCCUACAGAGCUUUAUUAAUAACAGGCAUAAAACCUAUCUAUUAAUUUGGUUGGGGCAACCUAAAGACAUAAACACCUCUUUUAUUAUAUCUAUACACACACCCAAUAAUGUUAAUGAAUUUAAGCUACCUUAGGGAUAACAGGCUAAUCCUGCUAGAGAGACCACAUUGACAGCAGGGGUUGGCACCUCGAUGUUGGCUUAGUGUAACUAUCUGGCGCAGCCGCCAGAUAAAGUUGGUUUGUUCAACCAUUAAAUCACUACGUGAUCUGAG